AGCACAGAGCAAUCUGUGUGACUGCGUACCUUUUGUAUAAUGGGUCAGCGACUUAUAUUCUGUAGCAAGGUUAACCGAAUAGGGGAGCCGAAGGGAAACCGAGUCUUAACUGGGCGUUAAGUUGCAGGGUAUAGACCCGAAACCCGGUGAUCUAGCCAUGGGCAGGUUGAAGGUUGGGUAACACUAACUGGAGGACCGAACCGACUAAUGUUGAAAAAUUAGCGGAUGACUUGUGGCUGGGGGUGAAAGGCCAAUCAAACCGGGAGAUAGCUGGUUCUCCCCGAAAGCUAUUUAGGUAGCGCCUCGUGAAUUCAUCUCCGGGGGUAGAGCACUGUUUCGGCAAGGGGGUCAUCCCGACUUACCAACCCGAUGCAAACUGCGAAUACCGGAGAAUGUUAUCACGGGAGACACACGGCGGGUGCUAACGUCCGUCGUGAAGAGGGAAACAACCCAGACCGCCAGCUAAGGUCCCAAAGUCAUGGUUAAGUGGGAAACGAUGUGGGAAGGCCCAGACAGCCAGGAUGUUGGCUUAGAAGCAGCCAUCAUUUAAAGAAAGCGUAAUAGCUCACUGGUCGAGUCGGCCUGCGCGGAAGAUGUAACGGGGCUAAACCAUGCACCGAAGCUGCGGCAGCGACGCUUAUGCGUUGUUGGGUA
This 654-nucleotide ribosomal RNA is filed under the name Escherichia coli. RNAcentral's name for it is "partial 23S ribosomal RNA". It matches the Rfam family "Bacterial large subunit ribosomal RNA", at positions 578 to 1230 of the family's 2925-position model. The record is from RNAcentral. Lineage: Bacteria; Pseudomonadati; Pseudomonadota; Gammaproteobacteria; Enterobacterales; Enterobacteriaceae.